Molecule: small nuclear RNA, 107 nt
Organism: Piliocolobus tephrosceles (Ugandan red Colobus)
Lineage: Eukaryota; Metazoa; Chordata; Mammalia; Primates; Cercopithecidae
Source: Ensembl
GUGCCCAUUUUGGCAGCACACGUACUAAAAUUGGAAAGAUACAGAGAAGAUUAGCAUGGCCCCUGUGCAAGGAUGACAAUCAAAAGUGAGAAAUUAUUUUAAAAAAU